CGUUGGUGAGAGUGGAAAGCUCAUCAAGUGACGGUAACUACCCAGAAAGGGACGGCUAACUACGUGCCAGCAGCCGCGGUAAUACGUAGGUCCCGAGCGUUGUCCGGAUUUAUUGGGCGUAAAGCGAGCGCAGGUGGUUUAUUAAGUCUGGUGUAAAAGGCAGUGGCUCAACCAUUGUAUGCAUUGGAAACUGGUAGACUUGAGUGCAGGAGAGGAGAGUGGAAUUCCAUGUGUAGCGGUGAAAUGCGUAGAUAUAUGGAGGAACACCGGUGGCGAAAGCGGCUCUCUGGCCUGUAACUGACACUGAGGCUCGAAAGCGUGGGGAGCAAGCAGGAUUAGAUACCCUGGUAGUCCACGCCGUAAACGAUGAGUGCUAGAUGUAGGGAGCUAUAAGUUCUCUGUAUCGCAGCUAACGCAAUAAGCACUCCGCCUGGGGAGUACGACCGCAAGGUUGAAACUCAAAGGAAUUGACGGGGGCCCGCACAAG
RNAcentral lists this ribosomal RNA (487 nucleotides) under uncultured bacterium. RNAcentral describes it as "bacterial SSU rRNA". It matches the Rfam family "Bacterial small subunit ribosomal RNA", at positions 434 to 929 of the family's 1533-position model. The record is from RNAcentral.